GACGAACGCUGGCGGCGUGCUUAACACAUGCAAGUCGAACGGAAAGGCCCUGCUUUUGUGGGGUGCUCGAGUGGCGAACGGGUGAGUAACACGUGAGUAACCUGCCCUUGACUUUGGGAUAACUUCAGGAAACUGGGGCUAAUACCGGAUAGGAGCUCCUGCUGCAUGGUGGGGGUUGGAAAGUUUCGGCGGCUGGGGAUGGACUCGCGGCUUAUCAGCUUGUUGGUGGGGUAGUGGCUUACCAAGGCUUUGACGGGUAGCCGGCCUGAGAGGGUGACCGGCCACAUUGGGACUGAGAUACGGCCCAGACUCCUACGGGAGGCAGCAGUGGGGAAUAUUGCACAAUGGGCGGAAGCCUGAUGCAGCAACGCCGCGUGCGGGAUGACGGCCUUCGGGUUGUAAACCGCUUUCGCCUGUGACGAAGCGUGAGUGACGGUAAUGGGUAAAGAAGCACCGGCUAACUACGUGCCAGCAGCCGCGGUGAUACGUAGGGUGCGAGCGUUGUCCGGAUUUAUUGGGCGUAAAGGGCUCGUAGGUGGUUGAUCGCGUCGGAAGUGUAAUCUUGGGGCUUAACCCUGAGCGUGCUUUCGAUACGGGUUGACUUGAGGAAGGUAGGGGAGAAUGGAAUUCCUGGUGGAGCGGUGGAAUGCGCAGAUAUCAGGAGGAACACCAGUGGCGAAGGCGGUUCUCUGGGCCUUUCCUGACGCUGAGGAGCGAAAGCGUGGGGAGCGAACAGGCUUAGAUACCCUGGUAGUCCACGCUGUAAACGGUGGGUACUAGGUGUGGGGUCCAUUCCACGGGUUCCGUGCCGUAGCUAACGCUUUAAGUACCCCGCCUGGGGAGUACGGCCGCAAGGCUAAAACUCAAAGGAAUUGACGGGGCCCCGCACAAGCGGCGGAGCAUGCGGAUUAAUUCGAUGCAACGCGUAGAACCUUACCUGGGUUUGACAUGGAUCGGGAGCGCUCAGAGAUGGGUGUGCCUCUUUUGGGGUCGGUUCACAGGUGGUGCAUGGCUGUCGUCAGCUCGUGUCGUGAGAUGUUGGGUUAAGUCCCGCAACGAGCGCAACCCUUGUUCACUGUUGCCAGCACGUUAUGGUGGGGACUCAGUGGAGACCGCCGGGGUCAACUCGGAGGAAGGUGGGGAUGGCGUCAAGUCAUCAUGCCCCUUAUGUCCAGGGCUUCACGCAUGCUACAAUGGCUGGUACAGAGAGUGGCGAGCCUGUGAGGGUGAGCGAAUCUCGGAAAGCCGGUCUCAGUUCGGAUUGGGGUCUGCAACUCGACCUCAUGAAGUCGGAGUCGCUAGUAAUCGCAGAUCAGCAACGCUGCGGUGAAUACGUUCCCGGGGCU
RNAcentral lists this ribosomal RNA (1346 nucleotides) under uncultured bacterium. Its description in RNAcentral is "bacterial SSU rRNA". It matches the Rfam family "Bacterial small subunit ribosomal RNA", at positions 28 to 1381 of the family's 1533-position model. The record is from RNAcentral.